Molecule: transfer RNA, 76 nt
Filed under: Sporomusaceae bacterium FL31
Lineage: Bacteria; Bacillati; Bacillota; Negativicutes; Selenomonadales; Sporomusaceae
Also listed under: 1 other name
Description: tRNA-His
Rfam family: tRNA
About the family: Transfer RNA (tRNA) molecules are approximately 80 nucleotides in length. Their secondary structure includes four short double-helical elements and three loops (D, anti-codon, and T loops). Further hydrogen bonds mediate the characteristic L-shaped molecular structure. tRNAs have two regions of fundamental functional importance: the anti-codon, which is responsible for specific mRNA codon recognition, and the 3' end, to which the tRNAs corresponding amino acid is attached (by aminoacyl-tRNA synthetases). tRNAs cope with the degeneracy of the genetic code in two manners: having more than one tRNA (with a specific anti-codon) for a particular amino acid; and 'wobble' base-pairing, i.e. permitting non-standard base-pairing at the 3rd anti-codon position.
Source: RNAcentral
GUGGCUGUGGUGAAGCGGUUAACACGGCGGAUUGUGGCUCCGUUAUUCGAGGGUUCGAACCCCUUCAGUCACCCCA